RNAcentral lists this ribosomal RNA (306 nucleotides) under uncultured bacterium. Its description in RNAcentral is "bacterial SSU rRNA". It matches the Rfam family "Bacterial small subunit ribosomal RNA", at positions 490 to 793 of the family's 1533-position model. The record is from RNAcentral.
GCACCGGCUAACUCCGUGCCAGCAGCCGCGGUAAUACGGAGGGUGCGAGCGUUAAUCGGAAUUACUGGGCGUAAAGCGCAUGCAGGUGGUUUGUUAAGUCAGAUGUGAAAGACCCGGGGCGUCAACCUCGGAAUUGCAUUUGAAACUGGCAAACUAGAGUACUGUAGAGGGGGUAGAAUUUCAGGUGUAGCGGUGAAAUGCGUAGAGAUCUGAAGGAAUACCGGUGGCGAAGGCGGCCCCCUGGACAGAUACUGACACUCAGAUGCGAAAGCGUGGGGAGCAAACAGGAUUAGAUACCCUCGGUAG